GUCUUUUUGAAAUAAUAUAAAGUCUAAUCUGCCCACUGAUAAUAAUUAAAGGGCUGCAGUAUAAUGACUGUACAAAGGUAGCAUAAUCAAUAGUUUUUUAAUUGAAAACUUGUAUGAAAGAUUUGAUGAAAUAUAGACUGUCUCUAAUUUAUAAAUUGAAUUUUAUUUUUUAGUAAAAAAGCUAAAAUAAAUUUAAAAGACGAGAAGACCCUAUAGAGUUUUAUAUUUAAUUUUAUUUGAGAAUUAUAUAAAAAUUAAUAUUAAAAAUAAAAUUAAAUAUUAUAUUGGGGUGAUAGAAAAAUUAAAUUAACUUUUUUUAAAAAUUAAACAUAAAUAAAUGAUUGUAUGAUCCAUAAAUAAUGAUUAUAAGAAAAAAUUACCUUAGGGAUAACAGCGUAAUAUUUUUUUUUAGUUCAAAUAAAAAAAAAAGUUUGCGACCUCGAUGUUGGAUUAAGAUAAAAUUUAAAUGCAAAAGUUUAAAAAUUUUGAUCUGUUCGAUCAUUAAAAUCUUACA
This 514-nucleotide ribosomal RNA is filed under the name Melanargia evartianae. RNAcentral's name for it is "partial 16S ribosomal RNA". The record is from RNAcentral. Lineage: Eukaryota; Metazoa; Arthropoda; Insecta; Lepidoptera; Nymphalidae. RNAcentral also lists the same sequence under 2 other names.